Long non-coding RNA from Equus caballus (horse), 5443 nucleotides. The record is from Ensembl. NCBI's taxonomy places the organism in Eukaryota, Metazoa, Chordata, Mammalia, Perissodactyla, Equidae.
GGGGAGGACAAGGAAGGGGCGUGGCCGCUGUGGCCGCUUCAGGUGACGCGGUAGAAGUGGCAUUUGUCCCGCACUGUCUGGGUGUGUAAGGAGACACUCGCCCCCCAAGGCAGCCCCUCUAAGUGUGCACUAUAGAUGGGGAGAAACCUCAGACUCCUGGGCGAAGCUGGGCAAGCACGGGGUCCCCGUGGGCUGCCUCUCCCUGAGGCUUUGGGCUGCCCUCCACUCAAACCUCCAACGGGGCCUGACUUGGUGGCACAACUGGACUCCACAAAGGGGGUGGGGGUGUCAUCCCUGAUGUGCUGUGUGCAAAGCUCCCACCAUGACCCUCAGCUGGCUGACUUGGCAAACCACAUUUCUACAACAAGAUUAGCGCCCAAGAGACAGCCAGUGCCUGCCCUGCGGUUCCACCCCCUGGGCCGUGUCUGCCUUUCCACCACCACCCUCCUGCUGUGCCCGACUGCAGACCUCACUUCUCCGAACAUUGCAGUGAGCAGGUGUCAACACUGUUCUUUUUCUUGGUGAAAUGGAAGGUCACAGCUGCACUCAGGCUUCUGACGUGGCAGCCUGGCAGUGACUGCCCUCCCUAGAGACCUGGGUUCUGGCCCCAUGGAGAUGACUGCAGGCUUCAGCCAGACAAUCAGGAUGAGCAGCGCGCCAGGAACCCGUCAGACGCUAAGUGGGAACACAUCUGUGGAUGAACACGGAAGCCGCUGCGGGCUUUCUCCUGUGAUGCCACAGCGGGUUUGGAUUUUGGGCCCCAAAUCUGUCGCAGAAGAAGAAGAAGAAAGAAAACUGGGGUAGCAGGAGUGUUUGAGGAGAAAAUCACUGAGAGUUCUCCAGAAUGAAUGAAAGAUGCUUGUUCACAGACUCAAGAGAUCCAGUAAAUUCCAAGCAGAAGGACUGAAAAUGCAACACAGUGAGUGGCCCCGUGGCUCAGAAGGUGGGGUCCAGGCCCACCCACCUGGGGCCGGCGCCGCGUGUCCAGUGGCUGUGCAGGGAUGCGGCCCACAGCUCAGAGGCUGACCCACGGAGGGUUGUUGCCUUUAGAGGGCGGCAGAGCUAUGGCCUGCAUGUGGGAGAGCUGGGGGGCAGGGACCACGUCUUGUGGGGUUCUUGAGCUUAAAGGUUGUGGAGAGGAGCUGCAGGCGGAGGCGACCGAGGAGAGAUGGCGCUGUGGGACCCCGAGCCACUCCAGCUGUGGCAGCAGCAGCAGCAGCAUCCCAUUCUGCCCCGCGGCAGGUAAGGAGGGCUGAAGCUGGCUGUUCAGUUCAGUGACCACAGGUCACCUUUGCGAGCGCCGCUUCUUAGAGACAUAAUAACUCUGAAUGACCCACUUUCUUUCGGAGAUUUAUUACAGCUUGUUGUUAUUUUAUUAUUACUGUCUGCAAUUUUCUCUUCUACUGCUCCUGGGAGCAGUAAGUUUAAAGUGCAGUCCUUCAGAAAAGGCUUGAAUUGGGCAUACAUCAUCAUCUCCGUAGAUGGCCUGCUCACAGUGAGCGUCGUCUCAAGGUUUAGAAGGGGACGCUGUGGCUGUUUCCACCCUGGCUGCCCCUUUUCGCACAGGUUGUUCCCUUGGGGGCUGCGGGGGUGGGUGUGUGCGUGUGUGUAUGUGCUCGUGUGCGGGUUGUGUGACCUUGGAGGUAACUUCAUUGCUCUAAGCCUGGGCGUCUUCAUCUGUUGGGGGCAGGGUGACGAGCUCUGCCUUGCUGGGCUCUGGUAGCUUAGCAUAUGGCUGGAUGGGAAGUGUCUGCAUUUUUCUGGGUGUUGGGCUGGAGUCUGGGAGACAGGCCAUGGCGUGUGUGCGUGACUGUCCUGGUGGCCUGGGAUGGUGGAAGGAUGACAAGGGUGGAGUCCUUUGCAUGUGCUGGAUCUGGAGAAACAGGAAGCAACGCUGUCAGAAGUAGGUGAGGUGUCACAGCCUGGCUCCUCUCUGCUGCCCUUGUGCCCUGAGUGUCACCUGCACUGAGACUUGGAAACUUGCCAGAAGCCACAGUCCAGGUCAGGACUGGCACUUGGUUCUUUCCCACCCUGGCUUCACGCGGUCUCCGAAGCACGAAGCAGAACCCUGAGAGCAGCACCUCGGUCAGCAGAGUGGUGACCAGAGCCCCCCGGCUGGUGCCUCAGUGGAUCUGACUGGUGACAGCUGUACACAACGUUAAAGAAGGGCUGACUGUUUCACCCUCCUCACCCCAAAAGCAUCUGGAGGAGAACCAGCUGUGCAUUCUCCCGUGACUCCAGGCUUGGCAGUACGCCCGGGCACCUGCCCUUGCCCCCAGGAACCCUGCCCUUAAAGAUGAGUGUUCGGCUGACCAGACGGCGACAAGUGCCCCUCCCUGGAGGUGUCCCCCCAGCUCUGUCUCCCAGGCCGCCUCUGCUUUUUUGGGGGUUUCCUCACCCAACCCACACAGCCUCAGGAUUCAGCACAUGUUUCGGGGUAGCCCACCCUGCACUUGGCACCCCCACUCUGCCGUGCUGCAUUCCAGCACAGCAGGGCCCCAAAAGCACAGAGAAUGGCUGAGUCUCUGAAUAAGAUACAAACCGAAUACAUGGAACAGACAUUCUCAUCAACCACUGAUUACAUGUAAAGCUUCCCAGUGACUUUCGAGUCUUUGGGCCCUUUAGAUGGAAUGGGGAUGCAAGCUCUGGGUCCCUGGAAUGCCUUGGUGAUCCCACGUGGACGGCAGUCUGAUCGCAUAUUUGAUUUCCGUUCUCCCCUGAAAAUCCCCGGUCACCAGCACUUUCCUUGUGGGUGUGCAGAUGGUGAUGACACUGGUGAUAGGAUGGUGAUACCUUGCCUCGUGUCACAUCUCUGGAAAUGAGUGAAGACUAUCCAGAUGAGGAAAGCAAAGUCACCAGGAAAGCUCUAACCUUCUGGGCAAAGACCUCUCCUGGACCCUCCUUCUUAUUCCGCUCCUGGCCUGGCCAUCUUUUGCUUCUGGGAGGGCAGCACUGCUGGUGCUCAUUGACUGGCUUGUGAACAGCGCCUUCACUGGACACCCCAGAUCAACAUGCAGGUCCGAUGCCUGGGGGCCCACAUGGAAACGAGACUUGACAGUUCACACCGUGGAACUGUGUGCAUGGAGAGGAAGAAAAGGUGCCCAGGAUUCAGUGGGUUGACAUUUGCUGCUCGCGUAUUCUGAGAAUCUCCCCUGAGAAUAAAUCUAUUGCUUAUUAAAAAAAUAAAUUAUAAAGACUUCCUGGUAAAGAUGGUGUCAUGGACCCAGAUCUUAGAAUCUCCCUUCCCCAAUUCCUGAUGAGACUAAUAAAUAGUAGAAAAAAUUAGCAAAACAUUUUCCACUCUCAAAGACAGAGUUAUAAAUUCACACCACAGCAUUUGAGAACGGCAGCCAAGGAAAGCGGUAGAAGAUUCUCGUGCAGCAUCUAACUCCUUCACAGCUCCCCGGAGACUAUACUGGAAAACAAGAGUCAACAAAGUCCUAAUAGUUCUCACUUGAAUUCCCUAAUGUUGGGAGAGGUGGACAGACGGUGGGUGUACAGCCUGGAGAGAAGUUUCAAGAAAUCCUCAAAUUGGAGGCUCUUGCCAACCACGGUGCAAUCUCAAGGUCUAAGCAGAGGCAAGAAAAUUACCAAGUUUGACAUUUUCUAGGACUCCACGCUGAGUUAAGGAAAUGCCCAAACCAGUAUCCUGCCAAGCGGGCUGACACUCCCCUGAGUAACUGUGUGACAUUUAGCGCAAUCUCAGAAAAGACAGCAGAACCCGGGAAAUCCAAUACAGCCUCACAGAGCAAGAAGAAAGGGAAAUUUUAGAGACCUAAUAUCAAGUGAGUGCAAAAAUCAGCCCCUUUAUAGAACUAGAAAAUGAACUAGAAACAGAAUAUACACAGCUAAAAUUUAAUCAACUCUUCUGGAGGAAAGUCUUGAAAUAAUCGUUGUGAACACAUAGGAGCUGUACAGAGAUAUGAAAGCAAUUAGAAAAAACAUAAAAGAUUUGAUGGGUUGACUUAGAUGAUCCAAUAUGAAUAAAAUUUAUUAAUGUUAAUUAGAAAACCAAUCAAUGAACAGAGUUUUCAAAAAUGUAAUAAAAAAAUUCCUGAAGUUAAAGGAACCUGAAGUUAAAGAUUGAAGAUGCAUAACUAUGAAGUAGUCUAGAAAAAAUUCAUUAUUAAAUGGACACAUUAUUAAGCGGGCAUGUUUUGACUGAAUUAUUGAACUUUAAGUGAAAAGAAAAAUUAUUUAGGUUUUGAGGAAGAAAAUGAAAUUCAUAUACAAGGAGAAAAAAACCAGGCUGACUACAUACUUCUUAGCAAUAUUCAAUGUGAAACGACAAUUGAGCAAUUAUCUGGCGCGAUUAAAUUGUUACCCUAAAAUGUAAAGCCAGUAAAAUUGUUAUUAAGUCUAAAGGCAAUAGGAGGCAUUCUUUAAAAUCUCAAGAAAUAUAGAGCCAGUGAAUAUUUUAUUGAAAAAAAUAGUCCAGUGAAGCAAGUCAGUUGAUCCAAAGAUGAGUGAAGAGGCUAUGCUCAGGGUCGGAGGUCACUGGUCAGUGGAGCGAUGUCCAGAAAGUUCUGAGGGAAGGCGAGUGUGACCCAGGAAUUUUACACCCAGCCAACCUUUCUUUCAAAUACUAAAGCCGUAGACAGACAUUCUCAAGUGAGCAAACUGCAGAGAAGAAACCACCCAAGAAUCUUUCCUGAAAAAAUGUGACAGUGAAAUCCAGCCAAGCAGAAGAUGAAUAAAAACAGAGUGUAGAAAUGGACAAAAGAACUGGAGGAGUAUACUGAAUCCACGGAAAUAUAGUUCUAUAUGCAGGGAUUUCGAUGAUUGAGUUGAGGGUGAAUGCUAUAAAGCAGGAGAAAACAUAAAAUUAUCAAAAAUUUACAAAGAAGUGGGAGGUGGAGAUCACAGGUGGCGUAAGUGCAAUAUUCUCAUGGCUCCGAACUCCUAAUGUUUUGUGUGUUGUAAAAAAUGUUUUCGGAAUCCAAAUGAUCUUUUCUGGUGAAUAAACACUACUCGAGGUUCAGCAUUUAAUUGUUUCAUCCCAGUUUCUUUUUUAAUUUAUUUCAAGUAAAUUAAAUUUUAAAAAUUAAAUUAAAGUAAGUAUGUGUAGGAUGAAAAAAACUCAAUUUCUUUAUCUAUAAUCUGUCUAUAUCUAUCUUUAUCUAUCCAUCCAUCUAUUCAUCUACCAAUCUAUCUAUAUCUAUUAUGUAUCUACCUAUGUAUCCAUCCAUCAUCUACGUAUCAUCUAUCUACCUUCUAGCUGAGUGCAUGCAGUAUUUCCGUUUUGUAACACUGUAUCUGUCUAGCCUUCCUCUGUGCCUAUGUGUGCAUGCAGUGACAGAGAUUGAAAUCAUGGUAACUAUCAUUGUGUAUUAGUCUGAUGGGUCUGCCAUAUCAACCUACCGCAAACUGCGUGAAUUUAACAAUAGAAUUUUUUUUCUCACAGUUUGGAGGCUGGAAAGUCCAAGGUCAAGGUUCUGGCUGA